RNAcentral lists this transfer RNA (76 nucleotides) under Nostoc sp. LEGE 06077. RNAcentral's name for it is "tRNA-Gln". It matches the Rfam family "tRNA". From Rfam's summary of the family: Transfer RNA (tRNA) molecules are approximately 80 nucleotides in length. Their secondary structure includes four short double-helical elements and three loops (D, anti-codon, and T loops). Lineage: Bacteria; Bacillati; Cyanobacteriota; Cyanophyceae; Nostocales; Nostocaceae. The record is from RNAcentral.
AGCCCUGUGGUGUAAUUGGCAACAUCCCGCCCUUUGAAGGCGAAGAUUCCAGAUUCGACCCUUGGCAGGGCUGCCA